UACGUAGGGGGCUAGCGUUGUCCGGAAUCAUUGGGCGUAAAGAGCGUGUAGGCGGCCCGGUAAGUCCGCUGUAAAAGUCAAAGGCUCAACCUUUGAAUGUCAGUGGAUACUGCCGGGCUAGAGUCCGGAAGAGGCGAGUGGAACUCCUGGUGUAGCGGUGGAAUGCGCAGAUAUCAGGAGGAACACCGGUGGCGAAGGCGGGUCUCUGGGCCGUAACUGACGCUGAGGAGCGAAAGCGUGGGGAGCGAACAGG
This 253-nucleotide ribosomal RNA is filed under the name uncultured bacterium. RNAcentral's name for it is "partial 16S ribosomal RNA". It matches the Rfam family "Bacterial small subunit ribosomal RNA", at positions 524 to 776 of the family's 1533-position model. The record is from RNAcentral.